RNAcentral lists this small RNA (567 nucleotides) under Histoplasma capsulatum. RNAcentral describes it as "hypothetical RNA". The record is from RNAcentral. Lineage: Eukaryota; Fungi; Ascomycota; Eurotiomycetes; Onygenales; Ajellomycetaceae. RNAcentral also lists the same sequence under 1 other name.
ACGGGAGCCUCAGGACCACGAAGUCGAUCAAGACUUCCAUAAAGAGCAUAUAAUCAGCUUCAAGUUGUCUUUCCAUCAUGGAAUCUCUCGAUAUUGUUGCUCAAGAGAGACGGGAUAUUGAUCAAAAUAUUGCCAACCUGGAUGAUCUCUAUAGCGCGUUACUCCAAAUGAGACAGGAUAUUGAAGAAAAUAUUGGCACCCUGGAGGAACCUCUUCGGCACCUUAACAACGCCAAGACAACUGGUGACAUACAAAAAUAUCUUCAAGAAUUUUCAAUUGAAUUCCACAAGCUUUUUUUGUUGUUUGAAAAGCUGGCCGGUUUUACGACGUGCGCUUUGAGUAUAGGCAUAGAAACAGGGGAAUCGGUUGGGUUCAGAUGGCAUAUAGCCGCUUUCUGGGAAGAUUACGGACAUAUACAGCAGAUCAUGUACACAUGCUCAUUAUGUCGUCAAUUGCAAGAUGCUAAGCUUCGUCGAGGGGUACAGUACCUUCAGGAACAGAUGCGUGAUUUAGAAGCUGUUUGUGAAGAAAGCAAGGAGCAACUGGAGGCAGACUUGGAAAACCUGG